UCCUGGUUUAGAUUAACCGUUUACACUCAAAGCACAACAUGAAAAUUAAUACUACCAUAAGCUUGAAAAGACUCUAACAUCCACAAUUGAAAUACAUGCACACAAAGGUCAAAAGGAUUUUUAUUUGGUUGUAACGUGGCCAAGGUAAAGGUGAGAUAAAUCCUAAGGGGUACUAGGCUAAAAUUCAAAGAGGCAAAAGAGACUUGAAAGAAAUUGCGGGAGUUGAAUUUACAAAAUAUUUCAUUCACUUCAACAACUCUAUAUUAACUGUUUUCGUUCAUUUUUUUUCUCCUUUCUCUUUUUUCUUCUUCUUUUUUUCUUUUUCAUAAGGAGUAUGUAUUGACAUGUAUACAUCCUUCUAUUUUUUUUCUUUCAUUUUUUUUCUAUUUUCUUUUUCUAUUCUAUUUUUCUAUUUUUCUUUUCUUUUUC
This 429-nucleotide long non-coding RNA is filed under the name Lathyrus oleraceus (garden pea). RNAcentral's name for it is "Pisum sativum (pea) long non-coding RNA (PSAT_LNC041361)". The record is from RNAcentral. Lineage: Eukaryota; Viridiplantae; Streptophyta; Magnoliopsida; Fabales; Fabaceae.